UGCUUUCAGUUUUCGGGAGAAAAAAUUUUCUUCUUGGCUUCAAUUUCGAGUUGGCCAAUGAAAACUCCCUGGACCGUUCGCCAGGAAAACUGCAAAUAAUCUUUGCAGCCUUUUCUGAAAGUGUUGCCUUUGGAAGCUGAAAAACCCUCCCGACUACGGGAAAUAGAGAGAACUACAUUG
Non-coding RNA from Drosophila kikkawai, 180 nucleotides. Lineage: Eukaryota; Metazoa; Arthropoda; Insecta; Diptera; Drosophilidae. The record is from RefSeq and is a predicted model, not a curated record.